ACCAUCUUUGUCUGGGGGUGGACUGGGCUGUUCAAUGAACGUAUAGUGAGAUCAGCCCUGCUAACACCGAAACCAACACAACUCGCAUCACCUGAACUCAUUUGUUUAGGCUAUGGUGCAAUUUUUGGAACC
Molecule: small nuclear RNA, 132 nt
Organism: Onychostoma macrolepis
Lineage: Eukaryota; Metazoa; Chordata; Actinopteri; Cypriniformes; Cyprinidae
Product: U4atac minor spliceosomal RNA
Exons: 1
Source: RefSeq, a predicted model, not a curated record